UACGAAGGGGGCUAGCGUUGCUCGGAAUGACCGGGCGUAAAGGGCGCGUAGGCGGCGAUCAAGGUCAGAUGUGAAAUUCCUGGGCUUAACCUGGGGGGCUGCAUUUGAUACGUGGUGGCUUGAGUGCGGAAGAGGGUCGUGGAAUUCCCAGUGUAGAGGUGAAAUUCGUAGAUAUUGGGAAGAACACCGGUGGCGAAGGCGGCGACCUGGUCCGUGACUGACGCUGAGGCGCGAAAGCGUGGGGAGCAAACAGG
RNAcentral lists this ribosomal RNA (254 nucleotides) under uncultured bacterium. RNAcentral's name for it is "partial 16S ribosomal RNA". It matches the Rfam family "Bacterial small subunit ribosomal RNA", at positions 524 to 776 of the family's 1533-position model. The record is from RNAcentral.